UAUACAGGCUAACGGGCAUACCGCUGAA
RNAcentral lists this non-coding RNA (28 nucleotides) under Rattus norvegicus (Norway rat). The record is from RNAcentral. Lineage: Eukaryota; Metazoa; Chordata; Mammalia; Rodentia; Muridae.